RNAcentral lists this ribosomal RNA (473 nucleotides) under uncultured bacterium. RNAcentral's name for it is "bacterial SSU rRNA". It matches the Rfam family "Bacterial small subunit ribosomal RNA", at positions 355 to 825 of the family's 1533-position model. The record is from RNAcentral.
UGGGGAAUCUUGGACAAUGGGGGAAACCCUGAUCCAGCAACGCCGUGUGAGUGAUGAAGGUCUUCGGGUUGUAAAGCUCUUUCGGCGGGGACGAAACGGUUCGUGACAACACCACGGACUAAUGACGGUACCCGCAUAAGAAGCACCGGCUAACUACGUGCCAGCAGCCGCGGUAAUACGUAGGGUGCAGGCGUUAAUCGGAAUUACUGGGCGUAAAGCGUGCGCAGGCGGUUUGUUAAGACAGGUGUGAAAUCCCCGGGCUUAACCUGGGAAUUGCGCUUGUAACUGGCAGGCUAGAGUGUGGCAGAGGGGGGUGGAAUUCCACGUGUAGCAGUGAAAUGCGUAGAUAUGUGGAGGAACACCGAUGGCGAAGGCAGCCCCCCUGGGUUAACACUGACGCUCAUGCACGAAAGCGUGGGGAGCAAACAGGAUUAGAUACCCUUGUAGUCCCUGAGCGGGCUGGCAAGGCGCAU